ACUCAACUCACUUGGGCAUCUGAUUAAAAUGCAAAUCUUGAUUUAGGAAUUCUGGUGUCCUGCAUGUCUAAUAGGCUUCCAGGUGGAGCCAAU
RNAcentral lists this microRNA precursor (93 nucleotides) under Marmota monax (woodchuck). Lineage: Eukaryota; Metazoa; Chordata; Mammalia; Rodentia; Sciuridae. The record is from RNAcentral.